AGAGAGAGAGAGAGAGAGAGAGAGAGAGAGGACUGUGGCUAUGACGACGGUUUGCUUAUUUGGGGAGGACGAGCCGGAAUUGGGAAGUGAGGAGGUCUCUGAAGGACGGCGUCCGGCUUGUUCGCGUACUAUUCAAUGUCUUCGCCGCCGAGACCGACCGUCUGCUCUGUUAUUUACUCCCUUCGCUGUUUGUGAAUUUUCUGCAGAAACAGUGUCUGGACAUGGUCAUCUCACACUUGCAGAUGCCAUAACUAGCAUCAUAUAAUAUUCCAGAGAGGGGGGAGGAGAGAGAGAGGUGUUGAGCUUGGGAACGCGACGGCCUGGCCUUGCAAAGUGCGUAUUGCAAAGUGCAAUGACUCGCGUACUUAUUUUAGUUUAACCUUGUAUAUAUUAGGUCUUGGGUAGUUUUGAUGCAGAAUGAAAUUUGACCCCUCUCUCUCUCUCUCUCUCUCUCUCUCUCUGUGCAACUACGAGAUCACCCAGCCUGUAACUGUAAUGACUAGUGGACGAGGGCUCCCGGUUAGGUCCGAAAGGUGAAAAAGGGCAGCGAUGGCGAGUCAUGACGGACGAAAAGCACAGAGAAAUGGGAUGUGAAUUCAACGGCGCGUGAAGGUCACCAGCCCGCUAAAUCGCGAUCGUUGGUUUUUCAUCAGCUUUGGGUCAACGUAAGGGAUUCGGGGGCCAGAUUCCUGGCAUCAGCAGUUGACCAAGAGAUGGACUGCUCCUAAAAGUUCAGGAUUAUCGAACCCAUUAUUUUCUUUCAUUCGGGAGUCAACCAUCCCCCCUCCGGUGGAUUUUUUCCCGCAUUUAAACGUGGAUGAUAGAUCUUUAGGAGAGACGGGUUCCUCUCCCCCCUUCACGCUCUCCUGAUCUUCGCCCCAGCUGGGCCGG
This 891-nucleotide long non-coding RNA is filed under the name Spirodela polyrhiza (greater duckweed). RNAcentral's name for it is "long non-coding RNA (SPOL_LNC000872)". Lineage: Eukaryota; Viridiplantae; Streptophyta; Magnoliopsida; Alismatales; Araceae. The record is from RNAcentral.